Molecule: non-coding RNA, 90 nt
Organism: Glossina brevipalpis
Lineage: Eukaryota; Metazoa; Arthropoda; Insecta; Diptera; Glossinidae
Source: Rfam
GGGGGAGGUUUAGUACGUAGGCGCCAUGGACGGCGAGUCGUGCAUGCUGCUGGUACGGGCCGGUAGUAUGUUUGGGAGAUUCCUACCUCC